Molecule: transfer RNA, 97 nt
Filed under: Morchella conica CCBAS932
Lineage: Eukaryota; Fungi; Ascomycota; Pezizomycetes; Pezizales; Morchellaceae
Rfam family: tRNA
About the family: Transfer RNA (tRNA) molecules are approximately 80 nucleotides in length. Their secondary structure includes four short double-helical elements and three loops (D, anti-codon, and T loops).
Source: Rfam by way of RNAcentral
UCCGAUGUGGUGUAACGGUUAGCAUCGCUCGCUUUCAAGUCCUUCUAACAAGAAGAGCUGAUCCGAGCAGAUCGGGGUUCGAUUCCCCGCAUCGGAG